This is a long non-coding RNA of Sardina pilchardus (European sardine), 388 nucleotides long. RefSeq lists it as uncharacterized. The transcript has 3 exons. The record is from RefSeq and is a predicted model, not a curated record. NCBI's taxonomy places the organism in Eukaryota, Metazoa, Chordata, Actinopteri, Clupeiformes, Clupeidae.
GGCAUUUGUCACGGUAAAGAUCCUCCUCCUCUGUUUGAUUGGCAGCCUCAGAACCCUGCCGAUCCAAAAUGAUGUGACUCUGCAUCCUAGUUGGGUGGAGCGCCUCUGGGGGUCUGCUGGUGGCCCACUCCACGAAAGCUCUGGAUCUGGAUCUGGCGUUGACCUCCGUGCAGAAGAGUUUGAUCCCAGCCUUGAUCCUGAGCAAACCAGUGAUGCUAACGUCGGCUUCAGGCCUAACCCCAAUGUACAACCUCCUCUGCUUAGUCCAGACACCCAUCCGGUUGUGGACCAACCCGCACAAAAUGCUACUGAGAUAAAUAGAUCGCCUCGUGCUGCUGAAUCAGCACAGUCUAGUGAUCCUAGUGGGUCACCUGAUUCAAAGAACUCA